UACGAAGGGUGCUAGCGUUGUUCGGAAUUACUGGGCGUAAAGCGCGCGUAGGCGGCUUGUCAAGUCAGGGGUGAAAUCCUGGAGCUCAACUCCAGAACUGCCUUUGAUACUGAAGAUCUUGAGUCCGGGAGAGGUGAGUGGAACUGCGAGUGUAGAGGUGAAAUUCGUAGAUAUUCGCAAGAACACCAGUGGCGAAGGCGGCUCACUGGCCCGGUACUGACGCUGAGGCACGAAAGCGUGGGGAGCAAACAGG
Molecule: ribosomal RNA, 253 nt
Filed under: uncultured prokaryote
Description: partial 16S ribosomal RNA
Rfam family: Bacterial small subunit ribosomal RNA
Source: RNAcentral